AAAGAUGAAAAGCACUUUGGAAAGAGAGUCAAAUAGCACGUGAAAUUGUUGAAAGGGAAGCGCUUGCAGCCAGACUUGCCUGUAGUUGCUCAUCCGGGCUUUUGCCCGGUGCACUCUUCUACAGGCAGGCCAGCAUCAGUUUGGGCGGUUGGAUAAAGGUCUCUAUCACGUACCUCUCUUCGGGGAGGCCUUAUAGGGGAGACGUCAUGCAACCAGCCUGGACUGAGGUCCGCGCAUCUGCUAGGAUGCUGGCGUAAUGGCUGUAAGCGGCCCGUCUUGAAACACGGACCAAGGAGUCUAACAUCUAUGCGAGUGUUUGGGUGUCAAGCCCGAGCGCGUAAUGAAAGUGAACGGAGGUGGGAACC
This 365-nucleotide ribosomal RNA is filed under the name Sphaerellopsis melampsorinearum. RNAcentral describes it as "Sphaerellopsis sp. PAGZ-2023a partial large subunit ribosomal RNA". It matches the Rfam family "Eukaryotic large subunit ribosomal RNA", at positions 360 to 743 of the family's 3401-position model. The record is from RNAcentral. Lineage: Eukaryota; Fungi; Ascomycota; Dothideomycetes; Pleosporales; Leptosphaeriaceae.